GUGGGGAAUAUUGGACAAUGGGCGAAAGCCUGAUCCAGCCAUGCCGCGUGAGUGAUGAAGGCCUUAGGGUUGUAAAGCUCUUUCAGUAGGGAAGAUAAUGACGGUACCUACAGAAGAAGCCCCGGCUAACUUCGUGCCAGCAGCCGCGGUAAUACGAAGGGGGCUAGCGUUGUUCGGAUUUACUGGGCGUAAAGCGCACGUAGGCGGAUUGGUCAGUUAGAGGUGAAAUCCUGGAGCUCAACUCCAGAACUGCCGUUAAUACUGCCAGUCUAGAGUCCAGAAGAGGUGAGUGGAACUCCUAGUGUAGAGGUGGAAUUCGUAGAUAUUAGGAAGAACACCAGUGGCGAAGGCGGCUCACUGGUCUGGUACUGACGCUGAGGUGCGAAAGCGUGGGGAGCAAACAGGAUUAGAAACCCCAGUAGUCC
This 425-nucleotide ribosomal RNA is filed under the name uncultured bacterium. RNAcentral's name for it is "partial 16S ribosomal RNA". It matches the Rfam family "Bacterial small subunit ribosomal RNA", at positions 354 to 796 of the family's 1533-position model. The record is from RNAcentral.